CCCAGAUCCAGAUCGUUUCCCCAGAUCCAGAUCGCAGGCGUGAAGGGCGACUGUUACCAGGGAAGGAAUCUUGCAUCAUCGCCUGCUAAUAUAAUCUACUCCACUUGGACUGUGCUUGUUGCAAGCUUCAGAAGCAAAUGGAUAAGACUAGUUAAGCAGCACUCCUCUCCUCCUCUAGCGUUGGCGCGGAUCUCGUCGGUGAUGAACAUACGACAGGAUACUAUACCAGCCUCCUAAGUGAAGGCACAAAUCCACAAGACUAUGACGAUUUAGUUGACUUGUAUCCUGAGGAACAACCACAAAGGGUCGAAGUAAACACUUAUGCACCCUCUGCUAGACCGAACCAUAAGAGGUCAAAGAAUUUCAGUGACGUGGAAGACGAGCUUUUGGUGUCUGCAUGGCUUAACAUAAGUUUGGAUCCAAUUAUUGGUUAUAAUCAAACUCGCAGUUCAUAUUGGACUAGAAUUUAUGACUACUUUCAUGCCAAUAAGACCUUCUCCUCAACCCGUAGCCAGAACUCUAUUAUGCACCGUUGGACCAGCAUACAAGAAGGUGUAAACAGGUUUACUGGAUGCCUUGCUCAGGUUGAGAGAAGAAGGCAAAGUGGUGCUACAAUGCAAGACAAGCUUACACAGGCGUGUGCUUUAUAUAAGUCUGAAGAUAAGCAACAUAAAGCUUUUCCAUAUAUGCAUUGUUGGAAUAAGUUGCGGACACAGCGUAAAUGGGAGAUGAAACUUGAAGAAUUGGCUGUUGGCAAGUCAUCUAAUAAGAAGCAAAAGAUGAACUCAAAUGAAACCUCACCUCCACAUUUACCAAGUGCCACCGAAACAAGCGAGCCUACAACUCCAAAUGAGACUGUCACAACAAGACCACCUGGAAAGAAGAAGGCCAAAGCAGCAGCAUUUCAAGCUGAAAAGAAAGGCUACACAGAAACUUUAAACAAAUUAUUUGAAAAGAAGAAAGAAACAGAUGAAUUUAAAGAAAUGAAAAAAGACGAGAGGUUUAGAUUAGCAUUAGCAGUUGAACAAGAGAGGGCUGCGAAUGAGAAAUUAAAUAUGCAGUUAAGGAGUAAAGAGCUAGAAUUGAGGCAGCAAGAAGUUGAACAACAUAAGAAGAGGGAAGAAGAGAGGAUUAUGACACUAGACCUUAGUGUCAUGCCUGCUGAUCAGAAGCAAUAUUACAUGAGACUACGAUCUAAGAUAUUGUCUGAAAAUGCCUAAUGUUACAUGGUACAUUAGGUGUUGAUUAGUCUUUAGCUAAACUGUUUGCUUUUUAUCACUAUAGAUUUAGGUUUCUUUCUUUUGGUGCUAUGUAAUUGGAUAAUACACAACUAGCUUUGCUUAUUUUUUAGCUAAAAUGUUUGCUGUUUUUAUCACUGCGAUUUUAGGUUUCUUUCUUUUGGCAAUAUGUAAUUGGAUACUGCACAACUAGCUUGUCAUAUAUAAUUCAAACAUCAGGUGUUUGUUUACAUUUAGAAAUACUAGUCGUUCACAUUUUCUUA
Zea mays is the source of this 1501-nucleotide RNA transcript. It is a transcript of the gene named small auxin up RNA1, with no coding region annotated. The transcript is spliced from 5 exons. Lineage: Eukaryota; Viridiplantae; Streptophyta; Magnoliopsida; Poales; Poaceae. The record is from RefSeq and is a predicted model, not a curated record.